Quercus lobata is the source of this 2070-nucleotide long non-coding RNA. RefSeq lists it as uncharacterized. The transcript is spliced from 3 exons. NCBI's taxonomy places the organism in Eukaryota, Viridiplantae, Streptophyta, Magnoliopsida, Fagales, Fagaceae. The record is from RefSeq and is a predicted model, not a curated record.
UCUAGAAAACUGCAAAAGCCUUAUAAGUCUUCCAAGCAAGUUUGAAAUGGAGUCUCUUGAAAUUCUCAUUCUUUCUGGCUGUUCAAAAAUCAAGUGAAUUCCAGAAUUUAUGGGAAGUAUGAAACACUUAUCAAAACUUCACUUAAAUGGCACUGCUAUUAUAGAACUUCCCUCUUCAAUUGAACAUUUAACUAAUCUUGAAGAACUAUCUUUUCGAGGAUGUAAAGAGCCACCAUCUAAACUAUGGAAUAAGCUUUUUCCCUUUAAUUUAAUGCAAAGAAGAAGCCAAAAUCCGGUGACCUUGUUAUUGCCUUCCCUAUUGGGUAUGUGUUCUUUAAAGAGAUUGGACCUAAGUGACUGUAGUCUCUAAAAAAUUCCUAAUGAUUUUGGAAACUUAUCAUCUAUAGCUGUUUUAAAUCUAAGUGAAAAUCACUUUAGUUGCCUUCCUGAAAGUAUCAGGCAACUAUCUAAAUUGUUGGCAAUUUAUUUACACAAUUGCACAAGACUUUGUUCAUUGCCACAAUUGCCAUCAACAACUUUUUGGGUUGUAGCAGAUGGUUGUACCUCAUUGGAAACAUUUCCAAAUGGAUUAAAACCACACCAUACACAUCGUACACAUCUUUUCUUCUUGAAUUGCUUCAAAUUGGCUGGUCGGAGUGGCAUGUUCAUUAACGUGCUAAGAAUGCUAUUAACAGUUCAUCAGGAAAUUUGCAAGCAAUCUAUAAUAUUAUAUCCCUUUGGUUCCUUUAAUAUUGUGAUUCCUGGAAGUGAAAUUCUGAAAUGGUUUAGUCAUCAGAGUGUGGGGAAUAGAGUUAAUGAACAAGUUACUCAUCCCAACAGAAAUGUGAAUAUACAAGUGCCUUCUUGUUUGAGUAAUAUGUGGAUUGGUAUUGCUGUGUGUGCUGUUUUGUCAUGCCCCAAUUUUUAUAUUUCUAAUAUUUUGAGAUGUUGCAUUCUAAUCAAUAAACAUAAAGGUUCAAACUUUUCUGUAGGCAUUAACCCUAGAUUGGUUAAGAUUAAAUCACAUCACCUUUGGUUGUCCUAUCUACCCUCUCAAAUGUUUAAUGAGAAAGUGAGAGCAAUAUUGAGUCAAAUUGAUGAGAAUGGAAUCAUACAGAUUGAGGUUGGAUUUCGAUGGGAUUCCAACUACUUCCUGGAGGUUAAUAAAUGUGGGUUUCGUAUGGUAUACGAUUCACCAUGAUUUUCACAUUUCAACAGAAGGUAUCAAAAUGAAGCGAAGUUGUGAUGAAUAUGAAGGGGCUAGAGCUAGUGGAGAAGGCAGCUCUAACAAUGUCCCACACUCAAAGAGGACUGAAAGAUAGAGAAUGUAUGGGCUCAUGCUAACUUUGAUUGUGAGAAUUCUAAUGAAGGUGGCCUAGGACGGGUGCAUGGAACUGUAUAAGGAUGAAAUGCCCAAAGGUUAAAUGGUGAUGAACAUCAUCUGGUUUCCCAAAGUAAUUCCAAAACAUGUGGUUUCCCAAAGUAAUUCCAAAACAUGUGUUUAUAGGCUGGGAAAGACUAAUGGUUCUCAACAGAAUGUCCACAAAAGAUUGAAUGUGUAGUGAUAUGCUAAUCUUGAUGCUCAGUGUGUUAUUUGUAAAAGAAGAGUUAAAAAGUAUGGACCACUUGUUUUGUGAUUGUUCUUUCUCGAUGAGAAUAUCAUGAACCAUAAUGAGAUUAUGCUCUAGGAUGUGAAAUCCAUUGUGUCUAUACAGGCAUCGUGGUCUACAGUGUAUCAUAAUGGCUUCAGAGGAAUGCCAAUAUUCAUCAAGGAAGACUACUUUCUGAAGAGGCUAUGGUCAAAAUGAUUGGGUGGGAAGUGCAGAAAAGAGUUGAAUAUAGCAAUUACUGCAGUUCUGUAAAUGGUCCUUGUCUCUGUAAACUAACAAUGUUGGAGUUUUAACUUUGUAAUGUUUUAUUAUUGUUAGAGAUUUUACUUUGUAAUGUGUAUGGUGUAGGCUGUUUCUGUAUUGGUGUUGUAUUCUUUAGAGGUGUUUUGGACUAAUUGUACGUCUGUUUCUGUUGAAAUUUGCUCAUUCAUCCCCAAAAAAGGAAAGCAUUCUUUUUCAA